CUGGUAUCACGUAUUCCCGAGGUGUUCCCUAGGUGUUUCUCAGUAGAGCUCUCGGAGCAGUCUCGCCGAAUCACAUAUUCCUUUAUUCUCUUCUCCUCGAAUUCAAACGUCUUCGUUCGCGAAUUCACUUUUGGCGAAACGACCACGUGCCCAGCAUCCAAGUUCCACAGUGACCUAGAGAAUCUCACACCUGUCCCGACCUGUCCCCCCCCCCUCCCUCUGAUUCGUCAUCAACUGUGACGGCGAGCUUAGCUUCGUCAGUAAGGCAACGCGUCGCAUUAUUUCUUAUCCGGUGCCACGUAACGCGCAGCUCGCCGUAUCGAUACGAUCGUGCCGAGUAAUAAUUAACACUUGCUGUUCGGAGUGCGGUAUCGCAUCACGUCGCGGAAGUCGCCCGUCGUUAUCCCUCUUUGAUCUCUCUUCCCGAGGAGGAAGGCGAGGAGGAGCUUAGCCUCUCGUUUCAGUCUUUCUUUCUCUCUUUUUCUUUCGUCGUCGCUGUUCGUCCGACAACAAGAUUUCGACAUGGGAGUCGAGGACAAGAUGUCUGAGAAGAAUCCUGAAAUGAAACAAACUGCUGCAAGAAUCUGUCGAGAUUACUUGCACGGCGUAUGGAAACAUAUCACAGCGGAAAACAUAAUUCUCAAGCGUGUCAGUGGUGGUCUAAGUAAUUGGCUGUACAACGUCCAGCUUCCUGAGGGAACAGUUCCUAUCAGGGGGGAGCCUCGUCAAGUUUUACUACGACUUUACGGGCAGGUGCAUGGAGAAAGAGCCUUAGAGGGACUUAUCACGGAAUCCGUCAUCUUCACUUUAUUAUCCGAGAGGAAGCUGGGCCCUAAGCUACACGGCGUGUUUCCUGGUGGCCGUAUAGAGGAAUACAUACCGGCCCGACCUUUGCUCACGAAGGAGCUGGCGGAUUCAACCUUGAGUCUACUAAUCGCGGAGAAAAUGGGACAGAUACACACGAUGCAGAUACCAAUUAGCAAAGAGCCCACAUGGAUAUGGGACACGAUGCAGAAUUGGCUCAACACUGCAUCGGACAUUCUCGAGAACAUUGAGGACAUCGACAGCCAGCAGUUGGAGAAUGUCAGUGCGAUAAAGUACAUAGAUUUGGAGCAUGAAAUCAAUUGGCUUAGGUCAAUUGUAAUGCAGCAAAAGCAUCCAGUUGUGUUUUGCCAUAAUGAUAUGCAAGAAGGAAAUAUACUGUUACUCCAAAACUCGCGAACACCCAAAUUAGUACUCAUUGACUUCGAAUAUUGUUCCUACAACUACCGAGGGUUCGAUAUCGCCAAUCAUUUCGCCGAAUGGCAAUACGACUACACGGCGCCGGAAUAUCCUUUCUUUCAUGAACGUCCGGGUGCCGGUCCCACAAAGGAGCAAAAGUUUCACAGGACCGCAAUCCGUCAAGACAAGGCUGAGAUGCCUGCAAACAGAGAAAAAAUUGGCUGGCAAUGUGAAAACUGUCUGUCUAUGCUGUGAUGGAUCCCGUCUUACGUGGGUGCUCUACAUUUGUGGAACCAGGGUGCCACCGGUACCAUCACCAUUGGAACCACAGAUCCACUCAUCUACGAUUCUAGACUCAACUUCAUAAGAGCCUACCUAAGGACAUUGGGGAAAGAAGGAUCUCUGGAGGAAGAACGCAUCAUGAUGGAAGUGAGGAUAUUUUCGUUAGCUAGUCACUUAUUCUGGGGUCUUUGGAGCAUUGUAAACGCGAAA
This 1713-nucleotide unclassified non-coding RNA is filed under the name Monomorium pharaonis (pharaoh ant). RNAcentral's name for it is "choline/ethanolamine kinase, transcript variant X3". The record is from RNAcentral. Lineage: Eukaryota; Metazoa; Arthropoda; Insecta; Hymenoptera; Formicidae.